GUUUUAGUAGUUUAAUACAAAAACUUUGGUCUUGUAAACCAAAAAUAAGAUUUUCUUCUAAAACU
RNAcentral lists this transfer RNA (65 nucleotides) under Sceptuchus simplex. Its description in RNAcentral is "tRNA-Thr". It matches the Rfam family "tRNA". Rfam says of the family: Transfer RNA (tRNA) molecules are approximately 80 nucleotides in length. The record is from RNAcentral. Lineage: Eukaryota; Metazoa; Arthropoda; Insecta; Mantodea; Nanomantidae.